This 567-nucleotide ribosomal RNA is filed under the name uncultured bacterium. RNAcentral's name for it is "partial 16S ribosomal RNA". It matches the Rfam family "Bacterial small subunit ribosomal RNA", at positions 355 to 909 of the family's 1533-position model. The record is from RNAcentral.
UGGGGAAUAUUGGACAAUGGGCGCAAGCCUGAUCCAGCAAUGCCGCGUGUGUGAAGAAGGCCUUCGGGUUGUAAAGCACUUUUAUCAGGAGCGAAACGCUGUCGGCUAAUACCCGGCGGAACUGACGGUACCUGAGGAAUAAGCACCGGCUAACUUCGUGCCAGCAGCCGCGGUAAUACGAAGGGUGCAAGCGUUAAUCGGAAUUACUGGGCGUAAAGCGUGCGUAGGCGGUUUCUUAAGUCUGCUGUGAAAUCCCCGGGCUCAACCUGGGAAUGGCAGUGGAUACUGGGAGGCUAGAGUGUGUCAGAGGGUGGUGGAACUCCCGGUGUAGCGGUGAAAUGCGUAGAGAUCGGGAGGAACAUCAGUGGCGAAGGCGGCCACCUGGGACAACACUGACGCUGAGGCACGAAAGCGUGGGGGAGCAAACGGAUUAGAUACCCUGGUAGUCCACGCCCCUAAAAGCGAUGCGAACUGGAUGUUGGUCUCAACUCGGAGAUCAGUGUCGAAGCUUAACGCGUUAAGUUCGCCGCCUGGGGAGUACGGUCGCAAGGCUGAAACUCAAAUGAA